This 460-nucleotide ribosomal RNA is filed under the name uncultured bacterium. RNAcentral's name for it is "partial 16S ribosomal RNA". It matches the Rfam family "Bacterial small subunit ribosomal RNA", at positions 338 to 795 of the family's 1533-position model. The record is from RNAcentral.
CCUACGGGAGGCAGCAGUGAGGAAUAUUGGUCAAUGGACGGAAGUCUGAACCAGCCAUGCCGCGUGCAGGAAGACGGCUCUAUGAGUUGUAAACUGCUUUUGUACAAGGGUAAACCUGAAUACGUGUAUUCAGCUGAAAGUACUGUACGAAUAAGGAUCGGCUAACUCCGUGCCAGCAGCCGCGGUAAUACGGAGGAUCCAAGCGUUAUCCGGAUUUAUUGGGUUUAAAGGGUGCGUAGGCGGAUGGAUAAGUUAGAGGUGAAAUGUCCGAGCUUAACUCGGGAACUGCCUCUAAUACUGUAGAUCUAGAGAGUAGAUGCGGUAGGCGGAAUGUAUGGUGUAGCGGUGAAAUGCUUAGAGAUCAUACAGAACACCGAUUGCGAAGGCAGCUUACCAAUCUAUAUCUGACGUUGAGGCACGAAAGCGUGGGUAGCAAACAGGAUUAGAUACCCCAGUAGUC